CCUACGGGAGGCAGCAGUGAGGAAUAUUGGUCAAUGGAUGAGAGUCUGAACCAGCCAAGUAGCGUGAAGGAUGACUGCCCUAUGGGUUGUAAACUUCUUUUAUAUGGGAAUAAAAUGUUCCACGUGUGGGAUUUUGUAUGUACCAUAUGAAUAAGGAUCGGCUAACUCCGUGCCAGCAGCCGCGGUAAUACGGAGGAUCCGAGCGUUAUCCGGAGUUAUUGGGUUUAAAGGGAGCGUAGGUGGAUUGUUAAGUCAGUUGUGAAAGUUUGCGGCUCAACCGUAAAAUUGCAGUUGAAACUGGCAGUCUUGAGGACAGUAGAGGUGGGCGGAAUUCGUGGUGUAGCGGUGAAAUGCUUAGAUAUCACGAAGAACUCCGAUUGCGAAGGCAGCUCACUGGACUGCAACUGACACUGAGGCUCGAAAGUGUGGGGAUCAAACAGGAUUAGAUACCCCUGUAGUC
Molecule: ribosomal RNA, 460 nt
Filed under: uncultured bacterium
Lineage: Bacteria
Description: partial 16S ribosomal RNA
Rfam family: Bacterial small subunit ribosomal RNA
Source: RNAcentral